AAAAGCAUCUCAGCAUGCACAAAACAUUGAACCUUAAGGUGGAUGGGCUACAACAGCAGCCAAGAACAAGAAUCUGAGGCUAUCAUGGGCACAGACUGGACAGUUGAAGACUGGAAAAGGUGAUUUUUAUUUUUAUUUAUUUUUUCUCUAAUCUUCAACUGUCCAGUUUCUGUGAGCCUGUGUUCAUGAUAUUUUGUGCAUGCUGAGAUGCUUUGCUGCUGUAAAGAGUGCUUAAUUGAGUUACUAUAUCUUUCCCAGGAGCUUGAACCAAUGUGGCCAUUCUCCUCUGAUCUCACUUAUGAACAAGGCAUUUUCACCCACAGAAUUGUCACUUACUCUAUAGUUUUUGAUUUUUGCACCAUUCUGUGUAAACUCUAGAUACUUUUGCGUGUGAAUUUCCAGUAGAUCAGCAGUUUUUGAAAUACUCAAACCAGUCCAUCUGGCAACAACAUCCAUGCCACGGGUUAAAAUCUACCAGUAGACAAGCUUGACCUGUCUGGCGCCUGAAAUUAUUUCUGGGACUGCCACCAUUUCAACUUUUAAUAUGAAUGCAGUGAUCUGGCUGGUGACAUCAUGUACCUGGCAGCAAAAUUCAUCCCCCAGAAAAGAGUGGGUCAAGUCUUGUUGGAAGAGGGGAAUGUCCAUGCAGAAAUGGGCAAAACAGAAGACUGCAGCAGGAAGACCUUGAAAGCUGUAAAGGAUGCUUUGGAGACUAAUCGGGAAACACGUGACCUGGCAACACAUGGUCUUGGCCCUGCUGUUAUAAAAGGCACUUUUUCCAUUCAUUUUUGCAUGUCUUAAACAUGAGAGCACUGAAAUCAAAAGACUCCACAGAUGAGUAAGGUUUUCCCCACUUUAUUUUAUAUUUUCACUGUUUCUUUGUUUUUUGUUGUUGUUGAUGUACACUGUUCAGCAGUACAAGAAAAAUAAAUGACAUGACAAAUAAUUUCAUGAUUGAUUUUGAUCUGCUUACAGUUGUAGAUGAUUGAAACCUCACUACACAUACUUAGAGCCUGUUUAUGAUGCGUUUUUAAGAGAGAGAGACUCAAUACAGUGAGCAAUAAGCAACAAGAAGUUCAUUUAUAGAUUUCAUUGCCAUAUCAGAUGUUUUGCUUCUUUUUAUAUGCAAUUUUUGAAUGGAAGAUGCCAAGGACAAUUUAACAUGGUGUUUACUUUAGUAAACACUGCAGUAGAUACAAAGCUUCCAUCAUUUUUGACUAUGGUUUUUACUAUCUUACUACAACUUAAACCAAAUUCAAGUUUCUGCUUUGUGUUGAAUUCAAUAGUCAAGUCGGUGUGGUGUGAAAGUAUCCGUAUCAGACUGGUUUUCAAUGUUGUGCACCAUUCACUGUAAAGCACUCAAAGUGCACUCUUUCUAUGCACUUAACCUUAUUAAAUUUUUGUAAAGAACUUUUGAAAUUUUAUAAUGUCCAUCUGCCUUGGUUUUAGUAAUUCCUAUUAA
This is a long non-coding RNA of Xyrauchen texanus (razorback sucker), 1462 nucleotides long. RefSeq lists it as uncharacterized. Lineage: Eukaryota; Metazoa; Chordata; Actinopteri; Cypriniformes; Catostomidae. The transcript has 4 exons. The record is from RefSeq and is a predicted model, not a curated record.